This 1473-nucleotide ribosomal RNA is filed under the name Escherichia coli. Its description in RNAcentral is "partial 23S ribosomal RNA". It matches the Rfam family "Bacterial large subunit ribosomal RNA", at positions 923 to 2378 of the family's 2925-position model. The record is from RNAcentral. Lineage: Bacteria; Pseudomonadati; Pseudomonadota; Gammaproteobacteria; Enterobacterales; Enterobacteriaceae.
GGGGUCAUCCCGACUUACCAACCCGAUGCAAACUGCGAAUACCGGAGAAUGUUAUCACGGGAGACACACGGCGGGUGCUAACGUCCGUCGUGAAGAGGGAAACAACCCAGACCGCCAGCUAAGGUCCCAAAGUCAUGGUUAAGUGGGAAACGAUGUGGGAAGGCCCAGACAGCCAGGAUGUUGGCUUAGAAGCAGCCAUCAUUUAAAGAAAGCGUAAUAGCUCACUGGUCGAGUCGGCCUGCGCGGAAGAUGUAACGGGGCUAAACCAUGCACCGAAGCUGCGGCAGCGACGCUUAUGCGUUGUUGGGUAGGGGAGCGUUCUGUAAGCCUGCGAAGGUGUGCUGUGAGGCAUGCUGGAGGUAUCAGAAGUGCGAAUGCUGACAUAAGUAACGAUAAAGCGGGUGAAAAGCCCGCUCGCCGGAAGACCAAGGGUUCCUGUCCAACGUUAAUCGGGGCAGGGUGAGUCGACCCCUAAGGCGAGGCCGAAAGGCGUAGUCGAUGGGAAACAGGUUAAUAUUCCUGUACUUGGUGUUACUGCGAAGGGGGGACGGAGAAGGCUAUGUUGGCCGGGCGACGGUUGUCCCGGUUUAAGCGUGUAGGCUGGUUUUCCAGGCAAAUCCGGAAAACUAAGGCUGAGGCGUGAUGACGAGGCACUACGGUGCUGAAGCAACAAAUGCCCUGCUUCCAGGAAAAGCCUCUAAGCAUCAGGUAACAUCAAAUCGUACCCCAAACCGACACAGGUGGUCAGGUAGAGAAUACCAAGGCGCUUGAGAGAACUCGGGUGAAGGAACUAGGCAAAAUGGUGCCGUAACUUCGGGAGAAGGCACGCUGAUAUGUAGGUGAAGCGACUUGCUCGUGGAGCUGAAAUCAGUCGAAGAUACCAGCUGGCUGCAACUGUUUAUUAAAAACACAGCACUGUGCAAACACGAAAGUGGACGUAUACGGUGUGACGCCUGCCCGGUGCCGGAAGGUUAAUUGAUGGGGUCAGCGCAAGCGAAGCUCUUGAUCGAAGCCCCGGUAAACGGCGGCCGUAACUAUAACGGUCCUAAGGUAGCGAAAUUCCUUGUCGGGUAAGUUCCGACCUGCACGAAUGGCGUAAUGAUGGCCAGGCUGUCUCCACCCGAGACUCAGUGAAAUUGAACUCGCUGUGAAGAUGCAGUGUACCCGCGGCAAGACGGAAAGACCCCGUGAACCUUUACUAUAGCUUGACACUGAACAUUGAGCCUUGAUGUGUAGGAUAGGUGGGAGGCUUUGAAGUGUGGACGCCAGUCUGCAUGGAGCCGACCUUGAAAUACCACCCUUUAAUGUUUGAUGUUCUAACGUUGACCCGUAAUCCGGGUUGCGGACAGUGUCUGGUGGGUAGUUUGACUGGGGCGGUCUCCUCCUAAAGAGUAACGGAGGAGCACGAAGGUUGGCUAAUCCUGGUCGGACAUCAGGAGGUUAGUGCAAUGGCAUAAGCCAGCUUGACUGCGA